AGUUUUGUGCAGUGGCACUGUCUUGGUCAAUGAAGUUUAUCCGAGGUGCGAUUAUUGCUCAUUGAAAGAUACUAGAAAUGAUGUCAUUCCCUUCUGUCCUCCUGGAUUAAAAUCUUAAGUCUAUUAGUGAUUAGGGGCCAUCAUGAAGUUAAAAUCUUUGAUCUUAUGUUUCUGUU
RNAcentral lists this small nuclear RNA (176 nucleotides) under Fukomys damarensis (Damara mole-rat). RNAcentral's name for it is "U4 spliceosomal RNA". It matches the Rfam family "U4 spliceosomal RNA". From Rfam's summary of the family: U4 small nuclear RNA (U4 snRNA) is a component of the major U2-dependent spliceosome. The structure of U4 snRNA from yeast and human has been reported. The record is from Rfam by way of RNAcentral. Lineage: Eukaryota; Metazoa; Chordata; Mammalia; Rodentia; Bathyergidae.